RNAcentral lists this ribosomal RNA (419 nucleotides) under bacterium. RNAcentral's name for it is "partial 16S ribosomal RNA". It matches the Rfam family "Bacterial small subunit ribosomal RNA", at positions 355 to 776 of the family's 1533-position model. The record is from RNAcentral.
UGGGGGAUAUUGCACAAUGGGCGAAAGCCUGAUGCAGCGACGCCGCGUGGGGGAUGAAGGCCUUCGGGUUGUAAACUUCUUUUGCUCUGAACAAGGCGCACCAUGGGGUGUGUUGAGUGUAGGGGUAGAUUAGCGCCGGCUAACUACGUGCCAGCAGCCGCGGUAAUACGUAGGGCGCGAGCGUUGUCCGGAAUUAUUGGGCGUAAAGGGCUUGUAGGUGGCUGGUUGCGUCUGUCGUGAAAGCUCAUGGCUUAACUGUGGGUUUGCGGUGGGUACGGGCUGGCUUGAGUGCAGUAGGGGAGGCUGGAAUUCCUGGUGUAGCGGUGGAAUGCGCAGAUAUCAGGAGGAAUACCGGUGGCGAAGGCGGGUCUCUGGGCUGUUACUGACACUGAGGAGCGAAAGCAUGGGGAGCGAACAGG